ACGAGGCGAACCGGGGGAACUGAAACAUCUAAGUACCCCGAGGAAAAGAAAUCAACCGAGAUUCCGAAAGUAGCGGCGAGCGAAAUUGGACUAGCCCUUAAGCUUUAUAGGCGUCAGGUGAACAAGCUGGAAAGCUUGGCGAUACAGGGUGAUAGCCCCGUAACUGACGACGCAUAUUCAGUGAAAUCGAGUAGGGCGGGACACGUGAUAUCCUGUCUGAAUAUGGGGGGACCAUCCUCCAAGGCUAAAUACUACUGACUGACCGAUAGUGAACCAGUACCGUGAGGGAAAGGCGAAAAGAACCCCUGUGAGGGGAGUGAAAUAGAACCUGAAACCGUGUACGUACAAGCAGUAGGAGCAGGCUUUGUCCUGUGACUGCGUACCUUUUGUAUAAUGGGUCAGCGACUUAUAUUCAGUGGCAAGGUUAACCAUCUAGGGGAGCCGUAGGGAAACCGAGUCUUAACUGGGCGUUCAGUCUCUGGAUAUAGACCCGAAACCAGGUGAUCUAGCCAUGGGCAGGUUGAAGGUUGAGUAACAUCAACUGGAGGACCGAACCGACUAAUGUUGAAAAAUUAGCGGAUGACUUGUGGCUAGGGGUGAAAGGCCAAUCAAACCUGGAGAUAGCUGGUUCUCCCCGAAAGCUAUUUAGGUAGCGCCUCGGACGAAUACUACUGGGGGUAGAGCACUGUUAAGGCUAGGGGGUCAUCCCGACUUACCAACCCUUUGCAAACUCCGAAUACCAGUAAGUACUAUCCGGGAGACACACGGCGGGUGCUAACGUCCGUCGUG
This 789-nucleotide ribosomal RNA is filed under the name uncultured bacterium. Its description in RNAcentral is "bacterial LSU rRNA". It matches the Rfam family "Bacterial large subunit ribosomal RNA", at positions 174 to 1012 of the family's 2925-position model. The record is from RNAcentral.